Molecule: ribosomal RNA, 468 nt
Filed under: uncultured bacterium
Lineage: Bacteria
Description: partial 16S ribosomal RNA
Rfam family: Bacterial small subunit ribosomal RNA
Source: RNAcentral
GACGAACGCUGGCGGCGUGCUUAAUACAUGCAAGUCGAACGGACAGGCCCUGCUUUUGCGGCGUGCUCGAGUGGCGAACGGGUGAGUAACACGUGAGUAAACUGCCCUUGACUUUGUGAUAACUCCAGGAAACUGGGGCUAAUAUCGGAUAGGAGCUCCUGCUGCAUGGUGGUGGUUGGAAAGUUUCGGCGGUUGGGGAUAGACUCGCAGCUUAUCAGCUUGUUUGUGGGGUAGUUGCUUACCAAGGUUUUGACGGGUAGCCGGCAUGAGAGGGUGACCGGCGACAUUAGGACUAAGAGACGGACCAGACUCCUACGGGAGGCAGCAGGGGGGAAUAUUGCGCAGUGGCCGGAAGCCUGAGGCAGCAGCGCCGCGUGCGGGAUGACGGCCUUCGGGUGGUAAACCGCUGUCGCAUGUGACGAGGAGUGAGUGACGGUAAUGGGUAAAGAAGCACCGGCUAACUACGUG